ACCUUCUUUCCAUUCUCUUAUAUCACUAUCAUUCUCUCUCUCUCAAAAAUUAUAUUUUUCCACCCAUAAUAAUAAUAAUAAUAAGGUCCUGCCCCGUUUUAAGUAUUUUAACCCUUGACCACUGAUACCCUGUCCGACUGACGUAGGGCCCCGUAACGUAUGUCAAGGCUCUGCCUACAUUCGUUGGGGUUCUGUCUCGUGACGUAGGGACAAAGUAGGAUUGGGUUACUAUACUUGAUGUGGGUGCACUCUAUAUUUUAUUAAAUAACCCAGGAGUGAUACCCAAAAUAUAACAACCCUCCUAAAACAUCCCUGACACCCUACACUUCCUAAAAUACACCCCGUAUGUGAAAACCAAGCCCGAAAUACAAUAUAUAAAUUAAAAACAAGAAAGAGUAAGUUGAGGCGGGCCGCGUAGACCCACCCCAACCAUUCACGCGGGCCGUAUGAGGGUUAUACCGGAUUCCUUUGAUUUCUUAAAGCUCAAGCGGGUCGCGUAAAGAUCUUCGAUUAGUUAACGCGGGCCGCGAGAGGUUGGAAAAGUGGCGCAGCCUUGGGCCGCCACGUGGCAAACACCCGUCAAGCCUACACAUCAACUCAGCAUAGCUAUACGUUGACUUUGGGUCAACGCGGGCCGCGUAAGACUUGUCCCCAUUUGACGCGGGCCGCGAGAGAGUCCAGUAUCAGCCCUAUAAAUUGGAUCGUCGAGCCUUCAGUCUGCUUCGUUCAAAAUCAAUUCUUUCUCUCUCAAAAUUAAAUAGUGGGCAUUAUACACGGGCAUUAUACCCCCCUAAUUAGCGAAGCUCUGCCUCGUUGUAAGUAUCAUAACCCCUGGAUACGUAUUAGAUAUUCUGCCCGAUUGAUUUAGGGUUCCGUAACGGCUGUCGCGGUUCUGCCCGACGUAGUCGUUGGAAUACCGUCUCGGGGAGAAUAUUACUAAUGUUAAAAUGGGUUAUUAUACUAACGCGUGUGCAUUGUUUAUUUAAUUAGACUAUAACCAAGGAAUCACAAAGGAAAGCCUUAUCAUAGCAAUGUGAGUUGAUCCACUUUUUGUUAAAUGUUUUUACAAAACCUUGCAUACUUUUCUAUGCAAGUAAUUUAGUGUAAAGCCAAUAGAAGCCAGCUGGAGAGCACUGAAGGCUUGGAAAAGUGGCAAUAAAGUUACCUGAAAUAAAAUAGAUGUUUUUAUUAAAUAAAAUAGGAUUUAUUCCUAUAAAAAUGUAUGUACUGAAAAACUUGGGUUUUAUCCCAUGUGUUUAAUAUAAUGAAAAUAUGGUGGUUUUACUCUG
RNAcentral lists this long non-coding RNA (1289 nucleotides) under Helianthus annuus (common sunflower). Its description in RNAcentral is "hypothetical non coding rna". The record is from RNAcentral. Lineage: Eukaryota; Viridiplantae; Streptophyta; Magnoliopsida; Asterales; Asteraceae.